RNAcentral lists this ribosomal RNA (584 nucleotides) under Pseudomonas sp. StFRB383. RNAcentral describes it as "bacterial SSU rRNA". It matches the Rfam family "Bacterial small subunit ribosomal RNA", at positions 102 to 682 of the family's 1533-position model. The record is from RNAcentral. Lineage: Bacteria; Pseudomonadati; Pseudomonadota; Gammaproteobacteria; Pseudomonadales; Pseudomonadaceae.
ACGGGUGAGUAAUGCCUAGGAAUCUGCCUGGUAGUGGGGGACAACGUUUCGAAAGGAACGCUAAUACCGCAUACGUCCUACGGGAGAAAGCAGGGGACCUUCGGGCCUUGCGCUAUCAGAUGAGCCUAGGUCGGAUUAGCUAGUUGGUGAGGUAAUGGCUCACCAAGGCGACGAUCCGUAACUGGUCUGAGAGGAUGAUCAGUCACACUGGAACUGAGACACGGUCCAGACUCCUACGGGAGGCAGCAGUGGGGAAUAUUGGACAAUGGGCGAAAGCCUGAUCCAGCCAUGCCGCGUGUGUGAAGAAGGUCUUCGGAUUGUAAAGCACUUUAAGUUGGGAGGAAGGGCAGUAACUUAAUACGUUGCUGUUUUGACGUUACCGACAGAAUAAGCACCGGCUAACUCUGUGCCAGCAGCCGCGGUAAUACAGAGGGUGCAAGCGUUAAUCGGAAUUACUGGGCGUAAAGCGCGCGUAGGUGGUUCGUUAAGUUGGAUGUGAAAUCCCCGGGCUCAACCUGGGAACUGCAUUCAAAACUGUCGAGCUAGAGUAUGGUAGAGGGUGGUGGAAUUUCCUGUGUAGCGGU